AAAAUAAAUAAUCAAAACCCCUGCUUAGUGGAACUGCUGCUUCAGUAAAAUCAAGGCAAAAACUAUUAACCAUUUCAUUUCUUACAGACUGUCUUCCAAAUCUGGUUUUUGUUUGUUUCAUAAUGUUGGGGUUGUGCCUGUAGGCAAGUGGCUAUUUUGCCACUAGCCCUAGCCUUUGGUUUUUGAAAUAGGUUUUCACCUUACAUUGGCUGAGAACAUUUAUGUUUCCCAAACUGGCCUUAAAAAAUCAGCCCUAGGGGCUGGGAAUAUGGCCUAGU
Molecule: long non-coding RNA, 278 nt
Organism: Perognathus longimembris pacificus (Pacific pocket mouse)
Lineage: Eukaryota; Metazoa; Chordata; Mammalia; Rodentia; Heteromyidae
Exons: 3
Source: RefSeq, a predicted model, not a curated record